Molecule: small nucleolar RNA, 106 nt
Organism: Lutra lutra (Eurasian river otter)
Lineage: Eukaryota; Metazoa; Chordata; Mammalia; Carnivora; Mustelidae
Product: small nucleolar RNA SNORA48
Exons: 1
Source: RefSeq, a predicted model, not a curated record
GACCUGGGUAACGUGGCAUCUGGUUGGCCCGCCUCAUAUCGUCCUUGUUUAUCUCAGCUUGGCUUUUGGGCUGUGCCCAUGCCUGGUUCAUGCCAUGGACAUGUGG